RNAcentral lists this ribosomal RNA (165 nucleotides) under uncultured bacterium. RNAcentral's name for it is "partial 16S rRNA". It matches the Rfam family "Bacterial small subunit ribosomal RNA", at positions 355 to 511 of the family's 1533-position model. The record is from RNAcentral.
UAGGGAAUCUUCCACAAUGGGCGCAAGCCUGAUGGAGCAACACCGCGUGAGUGAAGAAGGGUUUCGGCUCGUAAAGCUCUGUUGUUAAAGAAGAACACGUACGAGAGUAACUGUUCAUACGUUGACGGUAUUUAACCAGAAAGUCACGGCUAAACUACGUGCCAG